RNAcentral lists this ribosomal RNA (467 nucleotides) under uncultured bacterium. RNAcentral describes it as "partial 16S ribosomal RNA". It matches the Rfam family "Bacterial small subunit ribosomal RNA", at positions 28 to 506 of the family's 1533-position model. The record is from RNAcentral.
GACGAACGCUGGCGGCGUGCUUAACACAUGCAAGUCGAACGGAAAGGCCCUGCUUUUGUGGGGUGCUCGAGUGGCGAACGGGUGAGUAACACGUGAGUAACCUGCCCUUGACUUUGGGAUAACUUCAGGAAACUGGGGCUAAUACCGGAUAGGAGCUCCUGCUGCAUGGUGGGGGUUGGAAAGUUUCGGCGGUUGGGGAUGGACUCGCGGCUUAUCAGCUUGUUGGUGGGGUAGUGGCUUACCAAGGCUUUGACGGGUAGCCGGCCUGAGAGGGUGACCGGCCAAAUUGGGACUGAGAUACGGCCCAGACUCCUACGGGAGGCAGCAGUGGGGAAUAUUGCACAAGGGGCGGAAGCCUGAGGCAGCAACGCCGGGGGCGGGAUGACGGCCUUCGGGUGGUAAACCGCUUUCGCCUGUGACGAAGCGUGAGGGACGGUAAUGGGUAAAGAAGCACCGGCUAACUACGU